UACGUAGGGUGCAGGCGUUAAUCGGAAUUACUGGGCGUAAAGCGUGCGCAGGCGGUUUGCUAAGACAGGUGUGAAAUCCCCGGGCUUAACCUGGGAACUGCGCUUGUAACUGGCAAGCUUGAGUGUGGCAGAGGGGGGUGGAAUUCCACGUGUAGCAGUGAAAUGCGUAGAUAUCAGGAGGAACACCGAUGGCGGAGGCAGGUCUCUGGGCUGACACUGACGCUCAUGCACGAAAGCGUGGGGAGCAAACAGG
This 253-nucleotide ribosomal RNA is filed under the name uncultured bacterium. RNAcentral's name for it is "partial 16S ribosomal RNA". It matches the Rfam family "Bacterial small subunit ribosomal RNA", at positions 524 to 776 of the family's 1533-position model. The record is from RNAcentral.